Talpa occidentalis (Iberian mole) is the source of this 2231-nucleotide long non-coding RNA. RefSeq lists it as uncharacterized. The record is from RefSeq and is a predicted model, not a curated record. The transcript is spliced from 9 exons. Lineage: Eukaryota; Metazoa; Chordata; Mammalia; Eulipotyphla; Talpidae.
CAGAAGCGCGGGAGGGUGCGAGAAUUCACCAGAGCCAGAGCGGGGAGCAGAGCAGGCAGAAGGACCGAAGUACACUGCUGAGGGGAGCAGCGGAAGGCAGGAGAGGUCUGCGCGCCAUGUGGGACCCUCCUCCGGUGGCCGGGGAGCAGCCAGGGAUCGAACCGGUGCUGCAGAGGCCGCGGGCAGCUUUGCAACCCAGCGUUCAACCGCUGCGCCACUGGGGAGGCCCUAUCAAAUACAGUUUUGCUGCUUGCAACAUGAGUGAGCAACUCCUGGACAUUCAUUCAUUCAGCAAGCCUUGGCACUACUGAGCCUUAACUCUGCUCCUGGAGCUGAGCUAGAAGCCGAGGAGAAGGGUAGAAGAGGAUGCCAUGGAACUGUGGUUGGAGUCUGGCUGGGAGUGAACAUGCCAUAGCUUUGUCAUGCUGCUUUCCGACACGGAUUUCAGUAUUUUAUCAUUCUUUGCAAGUAAAGCUUGGACCUGCUUCUUUCCCUUUGAAUGCCGAGGGCUUGGUUUCCAGCUUCCUUUGCUGGAAGGCAUAUUAUGAAAUAGGAUGUACCUUCAGAGAUGCAGGAUUUAUUUAUUUAUGCAUACAAGAACUGGAGUACAGGCUAGAGGUGCGGGGGGUGAGAGGAUUCACCAGAGACCACGUGGGGAGCAGAACAAGCAGAUUGACUGAAAUACACAGAUCUGCUGUGAUGGAUAUCUUCAAACAAUAGUAUCAACAUUAUUGUUUAUGAAAAUGGUAUUCCUGGAAUCAGGUGAACUCAGAGCAUGCAACCUUAUUUGGUGGCCCCAAUUCAACAACAUACAGUAGCCAGACCACACCAUUAAAGGAAACUUGUUUAAUUUCUUGAUAUGAAGGCUGUCUCCUGUGCACACCUAUCCUUGGCCUCCAUGAGGCACUGUGAAGGAGAUCAGGAGCUCAAUGGUCUGAGGAUGUUACAUGUGGAAUGCAGGUUUACCCACCCUACGGUGUGUUCCAUCUCCCUCCAGUCUCAUGACAAGAGCGAUGCAAUGACAUUCAUUUUGAAGUCGUGAGUGAAAGAGAUGUGGAAACUGAGAUUCAAGGAAGUUAACUAUCCACUAUGACAGCUAAUAUAUGGUGCUUCCCUGAUUUACUUGUUUAGAAGCAGCCAUUGGGAGCAAAACUUUGUGACUCAGCUUUGGUGAUGCAGUCCAGCUGGGGACUGACAGGUCAUUUUUCAGCUUACUGGUAAUGAACAAAACAGGUCUGAUAAUUUUCAAUAAUAUACUCAGGAAACGUGUGGUGCAGGACUGCAGCUUUCAAGCAGUUGACACAGAAAUCUAGUUCAAUCAGUGUCGAGAGCCAUGCCUGAAGACACUGCCUGUGUUUGGGGACCAGCCAGGAGAGCUGCAUCAGCCACAACAAGGCCAUAUUUUGACUGGUUUUCAUCAAUUUGACUUGAGUGGGUUUUUUACUCCCUUUCUUUUUCUGCCUCUCGUAAAAGUAUUUGGCUUCGAAGCAGAAAAAGAAUUCUUUCGUUGUAACUCAAAAGUCCUCUCUUAUUGUCUCACAUAAAAUGUGGGCUGGAGGAGUUACCUUAUGGUUUGGCUCCCGGUUAAAAGUAAGCAAGAGUCGAACAGCAGGGAAAAAUAUUAAAUGACCACUUGUGUUUCUCUUCUUUAUUCUUAGUCUGAAACUGUAGUGCUUAUACCCUUUUGCCCCGAGUAAAAUUUCCCCCAUAGCAUGAAUUUGGGGGUCUGAGAGAAGCACAUGAUUUCCUUUGUCCGUGGGAGUGCCCCAAAUAGCACACCCCCAAAGAAAAAUGCCAACAUCUUAAGGGAAUGGUUCUGACUGAGGUCCUCCAACAUCUAAUACUAUGUGCUGACUCAGGAAAAUGGGGCAACAUGCUGAAAACAUUUGCAGGCCUGGAAAAUAACUGGUUUAAUAACUCAAGAUGCUUUUAAGUUACCAAAAAAUACAUAAAAACAAAUAAACCUCCUUUUCCAAAAGUAAUGUUGUAAGGCAAUCUACUCCUGAAGUGAAAUAACAGAGCUUGCAAUCAAAUGCAAAUUCAGCUUGUGAAACUCCUUGACAAGUGACAAAGAACCUCAGGACCCCACAACCCAAAUAGAUGAAUACAAAUGUCUAUUUCAUGACUUCAAAAUAUUUAGAUAAAAGGUGAAAAAUUUAGUCAAUACCGCAGAUGUAUCUUCAUCUAAUGGUCAUACAAUAGUAUUGCUUCCAAAACGAUUUUCCAUGUAU